Molecule: long non-coding RNA, 5853 nt
Filed under: Gallus gallus (chicken)
Lineage: Eukaryota; Metazoa; Chordata; Aves; Galliformes; Phasianidae
Description: lncRNA (ENSGALG00010017053.1)
Source: RNAcentral
GAACAACCCAGCUGGGCAUUGCUGUUGGCGAUUGGUGCAGGAAGGCUGAAGCUCAUUUCCUUCAGCUGUGUGGCAUCAGAAACAGAGGCAAGCAGCUGAAGCUCACACACCUUUGAUAAUUAAAUGCUAAGUAACGACCAGCUGCAGAGAGCAACUAAUCUCUGCUUGGAAGCACAGCCUGGAGGGAUGCGAGAGGCUUUGGAGCAGCUUAUUUCUCUGCACAAGGGAGAAUGAAAGAAUCUGACUGAUGGGUGCAGACUUGGGUGACCAAAGUGGCUGCCAGAGCAGCUUCCAGCCUGAAUGCCAACCACACCAAGAACAUUUGUACUAAAACUGAAGCAGCGAUUUCGAGCCCAGGAUUUCUGCCUUUCUCCCCACCCCAUGCAGCUCAGGCCGGGUGAUGGAGCAGCUGGGUCAGGGAGCACAGGGAUACUGCAGUGCAGCUCUCUCACAGCAGUUACUGAGGACAGCAUUUAGAAACAAAAGCAGAGGGAGGACUCUGCUGCAAAAUCACAACCCAGAUCCCCACCCAGCACACAAGAGGAGAGAUGCUGAAGUUAGACAUGGAGGCAGAAUACAAAGACAAGCCCUCACUGCGGAGCCAGCUGGCCCUGCAGGUCAGGCGUUGCCAGCCCUCCUCACAAAGCGAUUUUCUGCAGUGCGUUUGCGUGUGUGCCGUGCAGCAGCACCGUGCAGCGAUGCAGCGCGGAGCCGCGUGUGCUCCUGUCGCCCGGCUGCUUUGCUGCUCGGCUGCGUGCAUCGCAGCAGGGCUCAGCGGGAAGGGCUCCGGCAGGCUAUAUUUAGCAGCAACAACAAAACAGGCAGCCGGAUCAGCUGACUGGGCGCAGAGAGCACGGGUUAGUUGUAGGCAGCACGUAUCCUGCGCGGAAAGCAGGGCGAGAGAGAGGGAGAGAGAGCAGGGCACGGAGCUGGGAGGUACCCCAUCACCCGCAGGGGCUGCGGCUCAGUGGGGGUAGUCUGAGGGAAGGCCAGGCCAAAAAGAGUAGAGGACUGCUAUAUGCAUAAAAAGGACGUGAAGCAACAUCAGCUGUCAGCCAUGGCUCCCCGGAUAAGAUUGAGUGUUUCAAAGCCUCUCCCAACCAUCUGCGAAACCCACGAGGAAGCAAUGGAAGACCUAACCAGCAACCCAAAGCACACUGCAAACACUUCAACCAACCCAGACUUGUACUCUAGCGAUGACUACAUUCAAUCUAUCUGCCACCUUGCCAGGCCCACCUUCCCAGGCAUUCCGGAAAGCAGCCAUAGGGUUCGGAACAGAAGAAUCCUGCAGACCCUGGAAGCCAUGUCAUGGUCCCCAUCCCAGAAAGAAAUGUCAGCAUGUAAAUUGACCAAUUUCAUCUCAAAUGUGAUGCCACUGGGAAAAGCUACAUCUGCUCCUGAUGAUGCAGAAGCCGACUUCUGGUCUAGAGAGGACCCCCUGGCACAGAUCUACAGGCGCACAGGAAACCUCUGCUCCUCCAAGGGUUUGUGGAGCAAAAGCUCCAGCACUGACUCCUCACAGUGCAUCUCCUCCAGCCACCUGGACUCCCUUCAUCCCCCAGCCAUGAAAGAAGAAGCCCCAGGAAAACCACAUUUCCCACGGAUGUUCAGUUUUCCAAGGUUUCCCUCUCCAAGGCCAAUGCAGAAAGAAACGCUCUGCUCAGAGCUGAGGUGUCUCAGAAGGGAUGAGGGAGCGGUUGUAGGGAGCAAUCACAGUCAAAAGGAAGAUGCUCCCAGGUUUAUUAACACUGAAGAGCUAUUGCUGUGCUCAGGCAGAGGGAAGCUACUAGGAAAUCGGCUCUUGCGCUGCUCUGUAAGGAGGCAGAGUUUGUUUGAGGCAGUGGGUGCUGACGAAAAAGAAGGGAGAGAAACUUCUCACUGUGACAAAAACGCAGUGGGUGAUGUUCCCAGUAAACAGAGAUACUCUGAGUGCUUCCAGGCAGCUAAAAAAGCUGUGAUCCAUAAUUGGAUUUCAGAGCAUAGAUGCAUGUGGAAAGAAGCAAAGAUAAAGGCUUGUUUGCUCCCAGCCAUUGCUGAAGUGUGAAAAAGUAUCUGUUCCAAAUAAUGUUGUUUGCAAGAAAUAAACACCCUGUGCUCUAGAAGCUCUCCCUGGAGUCCUUAUGUGGAAAACAUGGCUUGAAUGUGCAUGCAAGUCAGAAAACCUUUUGUGAUCCAUCUUACCCCUCAUCAGUGGGCAAAUGGACAACUUGGAGUCCAGUCCUCUGAGAAAGCAGCAAUUAAUUCUCAUUUUGGAAAGACAACGGUUCAUAAAGCAUUGCCCCACACCUAUUGCCUUGAACUGCCCUGAGCAUGGAGGAAAUUGAAGAGCCAUCUGUCUUGAAGAAGUAAUCUGAAGGAAAAAGAAACAACAACCCACACACCUACUGCCAUUUCACAGCAGAUGCCAAGCAGCCAGAUGUUUCACACGCUUGGGUACAGUUAUUCUGAAAGGAACAUUCUGAAUGGUGCUUGGACAGUACUAAAUAUGCCCUCACUGACAUAUGCAUUCACUGAGACACACAGCAUAGAUCACUGCAUCAACACCAGAAUACCACUGGGUCAGUCAUCUGGUAGUGCUUUCAUGUAAAGGAAUACUUUUAAUAGCUGUAAGAAGCCUGUGAUGAGGAUGUGUUAGAGGACAACAUGAAAAAUACUGAAACUGCUCUGGGUGGGACUUUUCCCCUUCCUUAGCACUGCAAAAGUUUAUGACUUUCAUGUCACAAUCUAACCUUUUUGGGGAUGAGUGCCCUGGGUGAGCAUUGCUAACGCUGGUCUGGUGCUGCAAGAAAUCAGGGUCCCAUCGGUGUCUGCACUGCUGUCUGUGCUGGGUGGGAGCACAGCUGGGAGCUGAGAAAGCUCUGUGCACGUAUGGAUUGUGUCUGUGUUUCCCUUCAUCUGUGUGCUUCUCUAGUUUCCCCCACCUGGCCAUGCUAACCACACUGACUUUUCUAUGCCUGGUGCUGUGAGACCGAAACAUGAAGGAAAAAAAAACAUCACAAGAAGUCCCCAGGACAGCCCCUUUGCUGCUCAUGCUGUGUGGGAUGUCUGCAGGAGGAGCAGUGCUGCUGUGGGAUCCAGGUCAUCCCCUAACCGCCUCACUGAGACAACUUUGUCUCCUGAAGCCUUCACACACUGUCACAGUCCCACAGUCACAGCGCACAGCACUGCAAGAGGAGCGGGUGAGAGAACUGCUAAGUAAUGCCAGUGCAGUUAUUGCUGCCACUGCCACAAAUCAAUCCUUUGGCACGGAGCAGACAUGAGGACUGGGCUGUUUGCUCAACUGCAGCCAGGACGGGAAAUACCACCGCAAAGCUGCCAUUAUAGAAGUGCUCACAGGUGGCUUCUGAAACACCCCUGAGUAGAUUAAAUCAGACUGCAACUUCUGCCCGGUACCAACACAAGUGUAAAUAUACUCAAGGAUCAAAAGGUGAGAGAAUCUGAACUGCUCAUUCUCACAUCUCUUACCUCAAAUAUUUUUAUUCCUGUUGAAACUCAUUAAUGCUCCGGAGCCAAACUGCUUCUCAUCUCCAUUUUCAGACUAACCACACAGCAAGAACAAAGGCGAAGGCGGCUGCAGCUUUUUUAGGGUUUACAGAGAGCCUGAGCUGAACAAGGCCACACGGGCUCUGCCUCCCCCUCUUCUGCCCUUCCCUCUUGGGUUUGUAUAGGGAUGGAGGACAUGUUUGCCCUCAUUGCUAUGCGGACAUUUCGGUUUCUGUCCAUGUUUAAGACACUAAUGCCUAGCAAGUUUUGUGCCAACUGCAUGUAUCACCGUGUUUGACCAAGAAAGCAAAUAAAACCCUUACACCAAGCAGCAUUCUCUGUUCUUGCAGGCCCAUGAGUGAACCUCCAGGUGCAGGGCAGGCUGUGACCAAUGGCUCAGGGCUCACUACACAAACACCUGCUCAUUGCACAGCAGGCCCCAAGCACAGGAGCAAUGCCUUGUAACGCCAUUCUGCCUGCCCAGAUCCAGGCCCAGGCAUUAGGCCUGCAUCAAACUGGUGAUGCUGUGCAUUCUCAGACCCCCCCCCGACAAGGCUCCUGAUGAUAACAUCCACCCUCACAGCCAGACCAGUGCAUGGCACCAUGCAGCUGCUUCAGAGUGCCCCCAGCACUGAGAUUCCUCCUCGGCUGCCAUAUAUUCCUGUGAAUUCUCAAACUUUCCCAACUGAGCUCCCUAGAAACCUAAAACCCUUGGGGGGGGGAGGAAGCUUCGGAGUGCAGCAAAGAGAGGCACAGACAAGCUCAGGUGAUGUUGGCAUCCAAAUCCCACCAGUAGCUUUCAGUCUCAGCCUUCACAACCUGUUCACAGACGAUGUGUAGGCUAACAUACAACUUCAUUCAUGUGGUCAUGCAGACUUUUACUGCUGCAAGCAAUGAAUGCACUUGGACACAAAAAACCAUGACCAGAAAACCAAAGACAGGCAGAAACAAAGCUGUCCCCUUCUUUUCUCAUCAAUGCCACAACCAGCCCUAAGAGAAUUCAACAGAAUUAGCACAAAGAAGCGGCGGAAGAGGAAAAGGAGGGCUGUAAAGGACAACAGUUACCAUCAGCUCAGAGCAAGGAUGAGGAAGCAACAGCUCUGAGAGCCUGGCUAAUGGUAUCUGGGUAUCAGCACAGUGCAGAACAGCCACAGCACUCCAAGGAGCAAAUGCACUGCAGGUAGGGUCUCUCUGCAGAUAGAAAGACUGUAUUGGUCAGAAACUAAGGCAUGAACUGAUGUAAUGUGUUUAGAAACAGGAAAGGGUCAGGAAUGCGCUUGUCCUAAAGAGAGGACACAAAGGCAAGAUGGGAAAUGGAGAAGGUCUGUGCAGGAGGCCCUUGUGUGAAGUCAGCAAAGCCAGUUUCUGAAAAGUUUAAAUGAGAGUACUAGUGUAGUAGUAGUGUAGUACAGUAGUAGUGUAAAAGCAGCUUUUUUUUAAGAAAAAAAAACAAAUAAAAAUCUUAAAGCUUUGAUAGAAAAUACAGAGCCUAAUUUAGGGGAAACAGAUCCAAGCCUGAGGUGAGAUAUGGGGUCCCUCUACAGAGGUUAGCAGCUGUGUGGAUUGUGCAUCAAGUUUUCCCCUUGCCCUGGAAUGCCACAGUUGGGCCUAAUUACUCACUGAGAGUGUUUUUAGCUAACUUUGAGUCUCUACAAAUGGAGAGUAAUGAUAAAUGGUGUACAAUGAAGUUAAACUGCAUUUAGUGACUAAGAAGGAAUCUCUUAGCUUCAAAAAAAAAAAAAAAAAAAAAAAAAAAAAGCCUUGUAUGUCCCAUCAGCAAUGUGAUUAAUGGCCAAGAGUUUUGCAUCUGCAGCAAUAAACACAGGCAUAAAAGAGAUCCAAAACAACAGCCAAAUGCAUUCACAGAUGAAAGGAGCAGGGAAGCCUCUCUGUCCUGGUGGCAGUGGGAGGCAGUGCUACAUCUGUUGCUGCACAGGGAGCUGCACUGUCAGUGACACAUCCUGCAGUACCCAGGCAGAGGCCUCCUGCUCCCAUCUCAGAUGUACGAGCUCAAAAAGCACAAGCUUGCAGUCUUGUGUUUGACCAUCCUUCCGGCUCAGCUGUUUGCCUUGCUCACCACAGCCCCCAUUUAUUUUUUGUGGCUGGCAUCGAAAUCACAGCGGAUAGCAACAAUGAACCCUGUAACACCACAUCUUGGUCUCAUGGCCUUUCCCCAUGCUUUGGGCUUCUCAAGAGUAACUGAAUUUGCCUGACACAAGAUAGAGCUGAUGCAAAAUACACAUUGUGUAAAUUCCCAUCCAAUGUCCCUGGCAAUCACAGCUUUCCUGGAAAUAAAGCUCCUGGAGGCAGCACUUCCAGGGACUGUUGCAAAGAGCUGCAGAAAACCCAGGCAUUUUUGGAAUAUCAUCU